This 97-nucleotide transfer RNA is filed under the name Streptomyces chryseus. RNAcentral describes it as "tRNA-Ser". The record is from RNAcentral. Lineage: Bacteria; Bacillati; Actinomycetota; Actinomycetes; Kitasatosporales; Streptomycetaceae.
CGACGAGAUGCGGCAGUGGGGCGAGCGGCUCGGAGUCGACGUACGGAUCGCCGACUGGGCCCAGGCGGACCGGGCGUUCGACGCGCCGCUCGUCGUC